GUCCGCGUGGCCUAAUGGAUAAGGCGUCUGACUUCGAAUCAAAAGAUUGCAGGUUCCAAUCCUGUCGCGGGCG
This 73-nucleotide transfer RNA is filed under the name Trichonephila inaurata madagascariensis. It matches the Rfam family "tRNA". From Rfam's summary of the family: Transfer RNA (tRNA) molecules are approximately 80 nucleotides in length. Their secondary structure includes four short double-helical elements and three loops (D, anti-codon, and T loops). Lineage: Eukaryota; Metazoa; Arthropoda; Arachnida; Araneae; Nephilidae. The record is from Rfam by way of RNAcentral.